UCAGGUGUGUCACAUCUCCAUGGAUACACAGUUGAUGAGAAUCCCAAGGUGGGAAAGAAGUUCUCCAUUGGUCUUAUUCCACCAGAGACGCGGAUGAGAUCAUUUUAUUUCUGUGCUGAAAAGGCGUUUGAUAAGGAGAGAUGGGUUGCGGCACUGAGGACUUCCAUAGGCAGAUGGGUGAAGGCAGACUGAAGAUGGCAAAAAAUAAGCUGAAAAAAGCAAAAAAAAAAAAAAAAAAAAA
Long non-coding RNA from Lingula anatina, 241 nucleotides. The record is from RefSeq and is a predicted model, not a curated record. NCBI's taxonomy places the organism in Eukaryota, Metazoa, Brachiopoda, Lingulata, Lingulida, Lingulidae.